This 433-nucleotide ribosomal RNA is filed under the name uncultured bacterium. RNAcentral's name for it is "partial 16S ribosomal RNA". It matches the Rfam family "Bacterial small subunit ribosomal RNA", at positions 29 to 507 of the family's 1533-position model. The record is from RNAcentral.
AACGAACGCUGGCGGCAUGCCUAACACAUGCAAGUCGAACGAGACCUUCGGGUCUAGUGGCGCACGGGUGCGUAACGCGUGGGAACCUGCCCUUAGGUUCGGAAUAACUCCCCGAAAGGGGUGCUAAUACCGGAUAAUGUCUUCGGACCAAAGAUUUAUCGCCUUUGGAUGGGCCCGCGUUGGAUUAGCUAGUUGGUAGUGUAAAAGCCUACCAAGGCGACGAUCCAUAGCUGGUCUGAGAGGAUGAUCAGCCACACUGGGACUGAGACACGGCCCAGACUCCUACGGGAGGCAGCAGAGGGGAAUAUUGGAAAAUGGGCGAAAGCCUGAUCCAGCAAUGCCGCGUGAGUGAUGAAGGCCUUAGGGUUGUAAAGCUCUUUUACCCGGGAUGAUAAUGACAGUACCGGGAGAAUAAGCGCCGGCUAACUCCGUG